GAUGAACGCUGGCGGCAUGCUUAACACAUGCGAGUCGGACGGGAAGUGGUGUUUCCCGUGGCGGACGGGUGAGUAACGCGUAAGAACCUGCCCUUGGGAGGGGAACAACAACUGGAAACGGUUGCUAAUACCCCGUAGGCUGAGGAGCAAAAGGAGGAAUCCGCCCGAGGAGGGGCUGGCGUCUGAUUAGCUAGUUGGUGAGGUAAUAGCUUACCAAGGCGAUGAUCAGUAGCUGGUCCGAGAGGAUGAUCAGCCACACUGGGACUGAGACACGGACCAGACUCCUACGGGAGGCAGCAGUGAGGAAUUUUCCGCAAUGGGCGAAAGCCUGACGGAGCAAUGCCGCGGGGAGGUAGAAGGCCCACGGGUCGUGAACUUCUUUUCUCGGAGAAGAAACAAUGACGGUAUCUGAGGAAUAAGCAUCGGCUAACUCUGUG
Molecule: ribosomal RNA, 437 nt
Filed under: uncultured bacterium
Lineage: Bacteria
Description: partial 16S ribosomal RNA
Rfam family: Bacterial small subunit ribosomal RNA
Source: RNAcentral